GCCCGCCUAGCUCAAUCGGAUAGAGCAUCAGACUUUUAUCUAGGCGGAUUGAUCUGAAGGCUGCGAGUUCGACCCUCGCGGUGGGCU
This is a non-coding RNA of Armillaria fumosa, 87 nucleotides long. The record is from the annotation of a GenBank genome assembly. Lineage: Eukaryota; Fungi; Basidiomycota; Agaricomycetes; Agaricales; Physalacriaceae.